GCCCACGUAGCUCAGUAGGUAGAGCGCUUCCUUGGUAAGGAAGAGGUUUCACCGGUUCGAUUCCGGUCGUGGGCUCCA
This 78-nucleotide transfer RNA is filed under the name Desulfobacterales bacterium. Its description in RNAcentral is "tRNA-Thr". It matches the Rfam family "tRNA". Rfam says of the family: Transfer RNA (tRNA) molecules are approximately 80 nucleotides in length. Their secondary structure includes four short double-helical elements and three loops (D, anti-codon, and T loops). The record is from RNAcentral. Lineage: Bacteria; Pseudomonadati; Thermodesulfobacteriota; Desulfobacteria; Desulfobacterales.